This 126-nucleotide small RNA is filed under the name insect gut metagenome. Its description in RNAcentral is "RtT RNA". It matches the Rfam family "RtT RNA". Rfam says of the family: This family represents a bacterial cis-regulatory element known as RtT RNA. The exact function of RtT is unknown although it is thought that it may be involved in changing the cellular response in relation to amino acid starvation. The record is from RNAcentral.
CUCCGAAGCGGGAAGGAUGAGAAGCUUCGACCAAGGUUCGAUUCGAGCGAAGCGAGAAAGCGUUGCCGCAGGCAACGACCCGAAGGGCGAUGCGCAACGCGCCGAGUAAUCCUUCCCCCACCACCA